UAUAGGAUCGAUUGGGAUACUCAUCAAAUUAACAUUGAAAACCGAGAACGUUCUGCACGUCAAUGGCGGGCCACGCCUCGAAAGAGGUAACCUUCAUGGUCGGUGGAUUACAAAGAGGUGCGGGCACUCAAAACUUAUCAUACUCGGAGUUUCAUCACAUCUCCUC
RNAcentral lists this small RNA (166 nucleotides) under human gut metagenome. RNAcentral describes it as "Bacteroidales-1 6S-Bacteroidales RNA suggested". It matches the Rfam family "Bacteroidales-1 6S-Bacteroidales RNA suggested", at positions 6 to 166 of the family's 179-position model. The record is from RNAcentral.